This 2590-nucleotide ribosomal RNA is filed under the name Staphylococcus aureus. Its description in RNAcentral is "partial 23S ribosomal RNA". It matches the Rfam family "Bacterial large subunit ribosomal RNA", at positions 328 to 2925 of the family's 2925-position model. The record is from RNAcentral. Lineage: Bacteria; Bacillati; Bacillota; Bacilli; Caryophanales; Staphylococcaceae.
AUUAGACGAAUCAUCUGGAAAGAUGAAUCAAAGAAGGUAAUAAUCCUGUAGUCGAAAAUGUUGUCUCUCUUGAGUGGAUCCUGAGUACGACGGAGCACGUGAAAUUCCGUCGGAAUCUGGGAGGACCAUCUCCUAAGGCUAAAUACUCUCUAGUGACCGAUAGUGAACCAGUACCGUGAGGGAAAGGUGAAAAGCACCCCGGAAGGGGAGUGAAAUAGAACCUGAAACCGUGUGCUUACAAGUAGUCAGAGCCCGUUAAUGGGUGAUGGCGUGCCUUUUGUAGAAUGAACCGGCGAGUUACGAUUUGAUGCAAGGUUAAGCAGUAAAUGUGGAGCCGUAGCGAAAGCGAGUCUGAAUAGGGCGUUUAGUAUUUGGUCGUAGACCCGAAACCAGGUGAUCUACCCUUGGUCAGGUUGAAGUUCAGGUAACACUGAAUGGAGGACCGAACCGACUUACGUUGAAAAGUGAGCGGAUGAACUGAGGGUAGCGGAGAAAUUCCAAUCGAACCUGGAGAUAGCUGGUUCUCUCCGAAAUAGCUUUAGGGCUAGCCUCAAGUGAUGAUUAUUGGAGGUAGAGCACUGUUUGGACGAGGGGCCCCUCUCGGGUUACCGAAUUCAGACAAACUCCGAAUGCCAAUUAAUUUAACUUGGGAGUCAGAACAUGGGUGAUAAGGUCCGUGUUCGAAAGGGAAACAGCCCAGACCACCAGCUAAGGUCCCAAAAUAUAUGUUAAGUGGAAAAGGAUGUGGCGUUGCCCAGACAACUAGGAUGUUGGCUUAGAAGCAGCCAUCAUUUAAAGAGUGCGUAAUAGCUCACUAGUCGAGUGACACUGCGCCGAAAAUGUACCGGGGCUAAACAUAUUACCGAAGCUGUGGAUUGUCCUUUGGACAAUGGUAGGAGAGCGUUCUAAGGGCGUUGAAGCAUGAUCGUAAGGACAUGUGGAGCGCUUAGAAGUGAGAAUGCCGGUGUGAGUAGCGAAAGACGGGUGAGAAUCCCGUCCACCGAUUGACUAAGGUUUCCAGAGGAAGGCUCGUCCGCUCUGGGUUAGUCGGGUCCUAAGCUGAGGCCGACAGGCGUAGGCGAUGGAUAACAGGUUGAUAUUCCUGUACCACCUAUAAUCGUUUUAAUCGAUGGGGGGACGCAGUAGGAUAGGCGAAGCGUGCGAUUGGAUUGCACGUCUAAGCAGUAAGGCUGAGUAUUAGGCAAAUCCGGUACUCGUUAAGGCUGAGCUGUGAUGGGGAGAAGACAUUGAGUCUUCGAGUCGUUGAUUUCACACUGCCGAGAAAAGCCUCUAGAUAGAAAAUAGGUGCCCGUACCGCAAACCGACACAGGUAGUCAAGAUGAGAAUUCUAAGGUGAGCGAGCGAACUCUCGUUAAGGAACUCGGCAAAAUGACCCCGUAACUUCGGGAGAAGGGGUGCUCUUUAGGGUUAACGCCCAGAAGAGCCGCAGUGAAUAGGCCCAAGCGACUGUUUAUCAAAAACACAGGUCUCUGCUAAACCGUAAGGUGAUGUAUAGGGGCUGACGCCUGCCCGGUGCUGGAAGGUUAAGAGGAGUGGUUAGCUUCUGCGAAGCUACGAAUCGAAGCCCCAGUAAACGGCGGCCGUAACUAUAACGGUCCUAAGGUAGCGAAAUUCCUUGUCGGGUAAGUUCCGACCCGCACGAAAGGCGUAACGAUUUGGGCACUGUCUCAACGAGAGACUCGGUGAAAUCAUAGUACCUGUGAAGAUGCAGGUUACCCGCGACAGGACGGAAAGACCCCGUGGAGCUUUACUGUAGCCUGAUAUUGAAAUUCGGCACAGCUUGUACAGGAUAGGUAGGAGCCUUUGAAACGUGAGCGCUAGCUUACGUGGAGGCGCUGGUGGGAUACUACCCUAGCUGUGUUGGCUUUCUAACCCGCACCACUUAUCGUGGUGGGAGACAGUGUCAGGCGGGCAGUUUGACUGGGGCGGUCGCCUCCUAAAAGGUAACGGAGGCGCUCAAAGGUUCCCUCAGAAUGGUUGGAAAUCAUUCAUAGAGUGUAAAGGCAUAAGGGAGCUUGACUGCGAGACCUACAAGUCGAGCAGGGUCGAAAGACGGACUUAGUGAUCCGGUGGUUCCGCAUGGAAGGGCCAUCGCUCAACGGAUAAAAGCUACCCCGGGGAUAACAGGCUUAUCUCCCCCAAGAGUUCACAUCGACGGGGAGGUUUGGCACCUCGAUGUCGGCUCAUCGCAUCCUGGGGCUGUAGUCGGUCCCAAGGGUUGGGCUGUUCGCCCAUUAAAGCGGUACGCGAGCUGGGUUCAGAACGUCGUGAGACAGUUCGGUCCCUAUCCGUCGUGGGCGUAGGAAAUUUGAGAGGAGCUGUCCUUAGUACGAGAGGACCGGGAUGGACAUACCUCUGGUGUACCAGUUGUCGUGCCAACGGCAUAGCUGGGUAGCUAUGUGUGGACGGGAUAAGUGCUGAAAGCAUCUAAGCAUGAAGCCCCCCUCAAGAUGAGAUUUCCCAACUUCGGUUAUAAGAUCCCUCAAAGAUGAUGAGGUUAAUAGGUUCGAGGUGGAAGCAUGGUGACAUGUGGAGCUGACGAAUACUAAUCGAUCGAAGACUUAAUCAA